CGAAGGUGCCGUCCUUCCUCCCCAGCAGCAGUGUGUCCGGCAGGGAGCAGAGAAAGUCGGUCUCGCUCCCCAGCAGCGGGGCAAUAUAUUAAAAGGGGAGACAGUUGGUUCCCCUCUCCAACAGCAGAGAGAGUGUCAGGGAGAGGAACUUGUUAUCUCCUCUCCCCAGCGGUUAAAAGUAUGUAUGGGAGAGGAGCUUGUUACCUCCUCUCCCCAGCGGCUGAAAGUAUGUAUGGGAGAGGAGCUUGUUACCCCCCUCUCCCCAGCAGCAGCUUAGCCCACCAAGGGGAGACAGUAAUCUCCACAAAAGUGCAG
This is a non-coding RNA of Pelobates cultripes (western spadefoot toad), 315 nucleotides long. The record is from the annotation of a GenBank genome assembly. Lineage: Eukaryota; Metazoa; Chordata; Amphibia; Anura; Pelobatidae.